AAAAUAAAAAUAAAAAUAAAAAUACAACACUUUUUUUUUUCUUCUCUCUUUCUUUUCUUUUUUGAACUUUCAAAGGAACACUAGGUGUUUUCAUUCCAAUGCCUUGACUUCCUAUGGUUGUAUUGAAUGCUUUGGAGUAAAAAGCACGGAGGAUUCUGAAUGUGGACUUGAAUACUUUUGAAUGCUUCCAUUUUCACGGCUCUUGAAACAAAUUAAAUACCUUAAAAUUGGCAAACGAAAACUAAUAAACGCCAAACCCAAAAGAUGCGCAGAUGUGAAAUCCUUUCAAUGGCUUCCGUCUCAUUGUUUCUGCUUCUCCCCUUAUUUUUCACAGCUUCAGCUCAACAAAGACAAUCCAAUAUAAGAUUAGAUUCUUCCCUCACCCCCACCACUAACUCCUCAUGGUUAUCACCGUCGGGUCUUUACGCCUUUGGAUUCUAUCCACAAGGCAAUGGUUAUGGUGUUGGUGUUUUUCUUGCUGGAAUUCCUCAGAAAACGGUUGUCUGGACUGCCAACCGGGAUGAUCCACCAGUAAAUAGCAGUGCUACCUUGCUCUUUACCAGCGAUUCUGGGCUUGUGUUGCAAGAACAAGGCCAAACCACUUCAGUUAUUUCUAUCCCACAGUCAGCUUCUUCAGCUUCCUUGUUUGAUUCAGGCAAUUUUGUGCUCUACACAGCUGAUCGUGAUAUAAUAUGGCAGAGUUUUGAGCACCCAACUGAUACUCUUUUGCCUUCUCAACGUCUUGAAACUGGUUCGGAGCUGGUUUCCGCUGCUUCACAAAAUGACCACUCAGCAGGAAUUUUUCGGCUUGCUAUGCAAGAUGAUGGACACCUUGUUCAGUAUCCGGUGGGAACUCCUUUGACUGCUGAACAUUCUUAUUGGGCAUCCGGUACAAAUGGACAGGGAAAUAAUGUGACACUAAAUCUUGGUCAUGAUGGCCAUCUCUACUUGCUUAAUUCCACCGGUGUCAACAUAAAGAACCUCACAAAAGGAGGGUAUCCCACAAAAGAUUCAAUUUACGCUAUGAGAAUUGAUUUUGAUGGGAUAUUCAGAUUGUACUUUUACAAUCUGACACAGAAUGGAAACUGGUCAGUUUUGUGGUCAUCCACAAAUAAUAAGUGCGCUCCCAAGGGACUCUGCGGUUUUAAUAGCUAUUGUGUUUUAAAUGAUCAGGAACCUCAAUGUCUUUGUCUUCCACAAUUUACACAUGUUGUUCAGAAUAAUUGGACUGCUGGAUGUGAGAGGAAUUUCUUUCCUGAAAGUUGCAAAGAUGAUAAUGGAGACAUCAGAAUUCAAGAACUCACCAAUACUGUAUGGGAAGACAAUCCAUAUUCCGUUCUCUUCUUAUCUAUCAAAGAAGAUUGUGAGAGAGCCUGCUUGGAGGACUGUGACUGUGUUGCUGCAUUUUUUAAGGAUAGGCAGUGCAAAAAGCAGAGGCUUCCUUUGAGAUAUGGGAAAAGAGAUAUGGGUGACUCAAAUUCAGCUUUGAUCAAGGUGGGCAAAUCUAUAUCCACCACCACAGAUAGAGUUGAGCCUGGAAAGAAAAAGAGUGAUCAGCUUGGAAGGGGCAUCCUAAUUGCCAGUGUUUCAAUUGUUGCCCUUGGGCUUGUUAUGUUGGCAAUAUCUGGCAUUCUGUUAUAUAAAUCUCGUGCACAGCCAUACAAAAGAAUAAAUGCAAAUGAGAAUAUUGUAUUAUGUGAGGAAGUUGCUCCCCGAUCUUUCACUUUUGCAGAACUAGAAGAGAUAACAGAUGGUUUCAGGGAAGAAAUCGGCAGAGGUUCAUUUGGGACAGUUUAUAAAGGGCUAGUAUCGAGGACCCAGAAAGUUGCAGCUGUCAAGAGACUAGAAGGAGUUGCAUCUCAAGGGGAAAAAGAAUUCCAAACUGAAGUGAAGGUUAUUGGAAAAACACAUCACAAGAAUCUAGUACGCCUACUCGGUUAUUGCAACGAAGGACCUAAUAGGCUCUUGGUAUAUGAGUACAUGAGCAAUGGUUCCCUUGCUGACUUGCUCUUCUCUCCUGAAAAAAGACCUUGUUUUACAGAAAGAGUGGAGAUUGCUCGCAAUAUAGCAAGGGGUAUCCUCUAUCUACAUGAAGAGUGCGAGACACAGAUCAUCCAUUGUGAUAUAAAACCAGAGAACAUACUGAUAGAUGAAUACAGGUCUCCAAAAAUUUCUGAUUUUGGAUUGGCAAAGCUGCUGAAGCCGGACCAAACGAAAACUUUCACAGGAAUUAGAGGAACAAGAGGAUAUGUUGCACCAGAAUGGCAUCGUAAGCUUCCUGUUACAGUUAAAGCUGAUGUUUAUAGUUUCGGAAUUGUGUUAUUGGAGAUCGCAUGUUGUAGAAGGAAUGUGGAUCAAAAUCUUCCAGAGAUUGAAUCCAUACUUGUGGAUUGGGUUUACCAUUGUUUUGAGGCUGGUGAAAUGGAUAAAUUGGUUGGUGAUGAGGAAGUGGACAAGAGACUAAUGGAUAGAAUGAUCAAAGUGGGGCUUUGGUGCACUCUGGAUGAACCGUCCAUCCGCCCUUCCAUGAAGAAGGUUCUUUUGAUGUUGGAAGGGACAGUUGACAUCCCAGUACCACCAAGUCCUACUUCUUUUCUUACUUGCAUUUAAGAUUUGUGUUUUUGGUCUCUGCUUUUCUUUAGUCGUCAGUUAGUAAGUUGAAGUUACAGUUCGUUGCUUGCUUUAAAUUUAUAAUUAUCAGAGUCUAUCUAGUACAAAAAGCUGUAAUGAAAAAGGUUGGAAAUUUCACUUACGCUUUUUGAACUUGUCACUCCUCAUGUUAAUGGUUACAGUUUGAAUCCUAUCAUUAAUCACCAAAUGUAAACUUUCACAUUAUAUAAUUCAAGCUCCCCUAAGG
This 2857-nucleotide unclassified non-coding RNA is filed under the name Hevea brasiliensis (rubber tree). The record is from RNAcentral. Lineage: Eukaryota; Viridiplantae; Streptophyta; Magnoliopsida; Malpighiales; Euphorbiaceae.